Molecule: ribosomal RNA, 450 nt
Filed under: uncultured bacterium
Lineage: Bacteria
Description: partial 16S ribosomal RNA
Rfam family: Bacterial small subunit ribosomal RNA
Source: RNAcentral
GUGGGGAAUAUUGGACAAUGGGCGAAAGCCUGAUCCAGCCAUGCCGCGUGUGUGAAGAAGGUCUUCGGAUUGUAAAGCACUUUAAGUUGGGAGGAAGGGCAGUAAGUUAAUACCUUGCUGUUUUGACGUUACCAACAGAAUAAGCACCGGCUAACUUCGUGCCAGCAGCCGCGGUAAUACGAAGGGUGCAAGCGUUAAUCGGAAUUACUGGGCGUAAAGCGCGCGUAGGUGGUGUUGUAAGUUGGAGGUGAAAUCCCCGGGCUCAACCUGGGAACUGCCUCCAAAACUGCAUGACUAGAGUACGGUAGAGGGUAGUGGAAUUUCCUGUGUAGCGGUGAAAUGCGUAGAUAUAGGAAGGAACACCAGUGGCGAAGGCGACUACCUGGACUGAUACUGACACUGAGGUGCGAAAGCGUGGGGAGCAAACAGGAUUAGAAACCCCUGUAGUCC